AGUUUACUCAACGACACUCAGGAGAAGACUGUUGAUCAGAAUUCCCUGGUCGUUAUAUUUAUUGCCCUCUGAUUACAUGUAUUGUAAUAUUUAGGUACAUUAAAUGGCGGGAAAUAGUAUGUACAUUGCAUUUUUAUGUGUUAGUGUAUUAUGUCUAUUUUUUUUUUUUAGCUAUAUUUAAGCUUAAAGCUAGAUUAUGUGUUAGUAUAUUUUGGGUUACAUUUGGGAUUUAAGGUUGAGGGUCACACUGUUAUUUAAUGUAAACAUUGGUGGUAAUAAUUUAGGCGUGCUUUCUUUUCCCGCAGUAACUUGGGUCGGAUUUCCAUCGCGAGUCAUCCUCCUGCUUGUCAGAGCCAAGAUACCAUUUGGGGCAGGUGCAGCAGAGAUUUUUUACGGAGACAACUCGCAAUAGUG
Long non-coding RNA from Drosophila elegans, 414 nucleotides. RefSeq lists it as uncharacterized. The record is from RefSeq and is a predicted model, not a curated record. The transcript has 4 exons. NCBI's taxonomy places the organism in Eukaryota, Metazoa, Arthropoda, Insecta, Diptera, Drosophilidae.